Molecule: ribosomal RNA, 441 nt
Filed under: uncultured bacterium
Lineage: Bacteria
Description: bacterial SSU rRNA
Rfam family: Bacterial small subunit ribosomal RNA
Source: RNAcentral
UGGGGAAUAUUGCGCAAUGGACGAAAGUCUGACGCAGCGACGCCGCGUGUGGGAUGAAGCUCUUCGGGGUGUAAACCACUGUUGCCAGGGAAGAACCUCCCCUUUCGAGGGGACUGACGGUACCUGGUGAGGAAGCACCGGCUAACUCUGUGCCAGCAGCCGCGGUAAUACAGAGGGUGCGAGCGUUGUCCGGAAUCACUGGGCGUAAAGGGCGCGUAGGUGGCGGGAUAAGUGUGCGGUGAAAGCCCGGGGCUCAACCCCGGGUCUGCCGUGCAGACUGUCUUGCUCGAGCGUAGUAGAGGCAGGUGGAAUUCCGGGUGUAGCGGUGGAAUGCGUAGAGAUCCGGAAGAACACCGGUGGCGAAGGCGGCCUGCUGGGCUACUGCUGACACUGAGGCGCGACAGCGUGGGGAGCAAACAGGAUUAGAUACCCCCGUAGUCC